GACGAACGCUGGCGGCGCGCUUAACACAUGCAAGUCGAACGGAAAGGCCUGCUUUCCCUUGUGGAUUGCGGGUACUCGAGUGGCGAACGGGUGAGUAACACGUGAGUGAUCUGCCCCCAACUUGGGUAUAAGCCUGGGAAACUGGGUCUAAUUCCCGAUAGGACUGCAGGGUGGUGCCUGUGGUGGAAAACGAUUUUCUAGUGGUUGGGGAUGAGCUCGCGGCCUAUCAGCUUGUUGGUGGGGUAAUGGCCUACCAAGGCGGCGACGGGUAGCCGGCCUGAGAGGGUGGACGGUGACAUUGGGACUGAGAUACGGCCCAGACUCCUACGGGAGGCAGCAGUGGGGAAUAAUGGACAAUGGGCGGAAGCCUGAUGCAGCGACGCCGCGUGGGGGAUGACGGCCUUCGGGUUGUAAACUCCUUUCGACCGAGAGGAAGCCACCUGGUUGGAAGGGUGGUGACGGUAGUGGUAGAAGAAGCACCGGCUAACUACGUG
RNAcentral lists this ribosomal RNA (494 nucleotides) under uncultured bacterium. RNAcentral's name for it is "partial 16S ribosomal RNA". It matches the Rfam family "Bacterial small subunit ribosomal RNA", at positions 28 to 507 of the family's 1533-position model. The record is from RNAcentral.